RNAcentral lists this ribosomal RNA (52 nucleotides) under Prevotella intermedia. RNAcentral describes it as "partial ribosomal RNA". Lineage: Bacteria; Pseudomonadati; Bacteroidota; Bacteroidia; Bacteroidales; Prevotellaceae. The record is from RNAcentral.
CUGUCAGACCUGAGUACACGCAGCGCAGGCGGAAUUCAUGGUGUAGCGGUGA